This 440-nucleotide ribosomal RNA is filed under the name uncultured bacterium. RNAcentral's name for it is "partial 16S ribosomal RNA". It matches the Rfam family "Bacterial small subunit ribosomal RNA", at positions 338 to 795 of the family's 1533-position model. The record is from RNAcentral.
CCUACGGGGGGCAGCAGUGGGGGAUAUUGCACAAUGGGGGGAACCCUGAUGCAGCGACGCCGCGUGGGUGAAGAAGUAAUUCGUUCCGUAAAGCUCUAUCAGCAGGGAAGAAAAUGACGGUACCUGAGUAAGAAGCCCCGGCUAACUACGUGCCAGCAGCCGCGGUAAUCCGGCGGGGGCAAGCGUUAUCCGGAUUUACUGGGUGUAACGGGGGCGUAGACGGUGAGCCAAGUCUGGAGUGAAAUGCCGCAGCUGAACUGCGGGACUGCUUUGGAAACUGGCGAACUUGAGUGCGGGAGGGGUAAGCGGAAUGCCUAGUGUAGCGGUGAAAUGCGUAGAUAUUAGGAGGAACACCGGUGGCGAAGGCGGCUUACUGGACCGUAACUGACGUUGAGGCUCGAAAGCGUGGGGAGCAAACAGGAUUAGAUACCCCUGUAGUC